GUGGUAAUGCCGGAUGCUCCGACUCCUCGCAUGGGGUGUCGGGAAAGAUUUCAUCGGUAUGGGAUGGGGUCGCGUCCUAUCAGGUAGUCGGCGGGGUAACGGCCCACCGAGCCUACGACGGGUAGCCGGCCUGAGAGGGCGACCGGCCACAUUGGGACUGAGAUACGGCCCAGACUCCUACGGGAGGCAGCAGUGGGGAAUAUUGCACAAUGGGCGCAAGCCUGAUGCAGCGACGCCGCGUGCGGGAUGACGGCCUUCGGGUUGUAAACCGCUUUUGAUCGGGAGCAAGCCUUCGGGUGAGUGUACCUUUCGAAUAAGCACCGGCUAACUACGUGCCAGCAGCCGCGGUAAUACGUAGGGUGCAAGCGUUAUCCGGAAUUAUUGGGCGUAAAGGGCUCGUAGGCGGUUCGUCGCGUCCGGUGUGAAAGUCCAUCGCUUAACGGUGGAUCUGCGCCGGGUACGGGCGGGCUGGAGUGCGGUAGGGGAGACUGGAAUUCCCGGUGUAACGGUGGAAUGUGUAGAU
This 523-nucleotide ribosomal RNA is filed under the name Bifidobacterium pseudocatenulatum. Its description in RNAcentral is "bacterial SSU rRNA". It matches the Rfam family "Bacterial small subunit ribosomal RNA", at positions 160 to 695 of the family's 1533-position model. The record is from RNAcentral. Lineage: Bacteria; Bacillati; Actinomycetota; Actinomycetes; Bifidobacteriales; Bifidobacteriaceae.